This 104-nucleotide small nuclear RNA is filed under the name Castor canadensis (American beaver). Lineage: Eukaryota; Metazoa; Chordata; Mammalia; Rodentia; Castoridae. The record is from RNAcentral.
AUGUUUACUUCAAAAGCACAUAUACUAAAAUUGCAACAGUAAAGAGAUUAGCAUAACUCCUGGUCAAGGAUGAUAUGCAAAUCUGUGAAGUAUUCCAUAUAUUA